This is a non-coding RNA of Paramuricea clavata, 895 nucleotides long. NCBI's taxonomy places the organism in Eukaryota, Metazoa, Cnidaria, Anthozoa, Malacalcyonacea, Plexauridae. The record is from the annotation of a GenBank genome assembly.
AAAUAGAUCGAAAAGUCAAAAAUAUAAAUCGAAAGGAAACGGAAGUAAGAACUAAAAUACAGAGGAAGUCAGGAAAUGGAAGUUAACCACAAACAUUGCUGAUUCAGCCGAAUAUCUUUCUCGCCGUCUGGAUGUUUACAAAAGAAAUAUAAAUAUUCUUGUACUAAUCUAUAGCCAAUUCUAGGUGUUACUUGUAAGAUACCACGAACAAAUAGAUCAAGAUCAUUGUCCCUUAUGGUAGAAUGUGAUUCCCUGUUCGUAUUAGCUGAGACAAAUGAACGUCGUCGUAUUGUACUCUCAGAUACUCAAAAUUUCUUGCAAUUUCUGCCCAGGAAAGUCCAACUUGAGAAUUUAGAGUUUUGAUUGCCUGUUGUCAGACAUCCAGUCUUGGUCUUCCCACACCAGAGAUAGUUAAUAGUUAACACUCCCACUGUCCUACACUUGUCUGAACAAUACCGUGGUCCCUGGGGUACUCCUCCAACAAAGGGCGGUACUCCUCCAACAAAGGGCGAAAGGAAAGUGCUUCGCAUCUUUCCCUUCGACGACGAACAAUCACUUGAAGGAUGCGCAUAUCUGACAAACGUUGUUCUAGAGGAUAUUAAGCCUUGUGAGAUUGAGAAGAAUAUUUAUAUUUCUUUUGUAAACAUCCAGACGGCGAGAAAGAUAUUUGGCUGAAUCAGCAAUGUUUGUGGUUAACUUCCGUUUCCUGACUUCCUCUGUAUUUUAGUUCUUACUUCCGUUUCCUUUCGAUUUAUAUUUUUGACUUUUCGAUUUAUUUUUAUGAGCGGCGGCUUUGACCUAUCAUUUGGGAGUUUCGCUUUAUAAAUAGAAGUUUGGACUUGCGUUUAAUUUUCAUAUAUAUCCUUUGAGAUUUGAAAUGUAUUUUGCAUUUUUC